UCAGGAUGAACGCUAGCGGCAGGCUUAACACAUGCAAGUCGAGGGGCAGCAUGAAGGUUAGCAAUAACCUUUGAUGGCGACCGGCGCAAGGGUGCGUAACGCGUGAGCAACUUGCCCGUUUCAGGGGGAUAACCGGUGGAAACGCCGACUAAUACCCCCAUGGCAUCAUUAGGAGGCAUCUCCUUCUGAUUAAAGAAUUUCGGAAACGGAUAGGCUCGCGUGACAUUAGCUAGACGGCGGGGUAACGGCCCACCGUGGCGACGAUGUCUAGGGGUUCUGAGAGGAAGGUCCCCCACACUGGAACUGAGACACGGUCCAGACUCCUACGGGAGGCAGCAGUGAGGAAUAUUGGUCAAUGGUCUGACGACUGAACCAGCCAUGCCGCGUGAAGGUCACGGCCCUAUGGGUCUUAAACUUCUUUUGCAAGGGAGCAAUAAGCCUCACGUGUGGGGCGAUGAGAGUACCUUGCGAAUAAGCAUCGGCUAACUCCGUG
Molecule: ribosomal RNA, 493 nt
Filed under: uncultured bacterium
Lineage: Bacteria
Description: bacterial SSU rRNA
Rfam family: Bacterial small subunit ribosomal RNA
Source: RNAcentral